Notothenia coriiceps (black rockcod) is the source of this 820-nucleotide non-coding RNA. Lineage: Eukaryota; Metazoa; Chordata; Actinopteri; Perciformes; Nototheniidae. The record is from the annotation of a RefSeq genome assembly.
UGAAAUACAGAUCUAAGAGGAGACAGAGAGAUUCAGGGAGGAGCUAAGAUGUUCCUGAACUAUAGAAGAGAGAGGAACUUCCAUAUUCACCAGAGUUCAACACAGACCAUCAUCAUCAUCACCUUCAUUCAACAUGCUGUCCCUGCAGAACUCAGCUUUUUCUCUGAUAUGUUUUGCAAUCUUAUCAGGCGUCAGCUGUGACGAUCUGACUCCAGUCAAAACAGAAGAGUUCAGUCCAGAAGGCAGCUCUGUUACUCUGUCCUACAGAUACUCCAAAGAAGCAGCUGGUGAUUAUUUCUUCUGGUAUCGACAAUAUCCUGGAGAACCACCAGAGUUCCUCAUCUCACACUCUGCUUCAGGCGCUGUAGGAACUAACCCAAUCCCUGGACUGAAUAUUACAGUGGAGUCAAACCGAAUCAAUUUGAUCAUCUCCUCUGCUGCAGUGACAGACUCUGCUGUGUUCUACUGUGCUCUGAGGCCCACAGUGACAGGAAACACCAACACUCUGUACAAAAACCUCUGGAGCAAAGACAACACAAUACUGAUCAACAUCCACCAGAGGGAGCCUCUCUCUGUUAAACAUCAAUAGUUUGUGAUGAUACAGUAAUGUAGUUUACCUGCUUGAUCAUUUGAAUUAUACUGUAUGUACAUUUCACUAUUAUGCAAAAACAUGUACUGCCUUUGAUUCACAUCCACAGGUUCAAAUGUUUAACUCAACCAUUGAAUCUGGCCUUUUAUCACACGUUGAAAUAAAAGUAAGUAGUGUCCAUGAACUUAAAAUAAGUUUUUCUGUGAGUCUGUGAUUGCACGUGGUGUACCA